RNAcentral lists this ribosomal RNA (878 nucleotides) under Pseudomonas sp. NBFPJLD_RAS155. RNAcentral's name for it is "bacterial SSU rRNA". It matches the Rfam family "Bacterial small subunit ribosomal RNA", at positions 82 to 955 of the family's 1533-position model. Lineage: Bacteria; Pseudomonadati; Pseudomonadota; Gammaproteobacteria; Pseudomonadales; Pseudomonadaceae. The record is from RNAcentral. RNAcentral also lists the same sequence under 1 other name.
GCUCCUGAAUUCAGCGGCGGACGGGUGAGUAAUGCCUAGGAAUCUGCCUGGUAGUGGGGGACAACGUUUCGAAAGGAACGCUAAUACCGCAUACGUCCUACGGGAGAAAGCAGGGGACCUUCGGGCCUUGCGCUAUCAGAUGAGCCUAGGUCGGAUUAGCUAGUUGGUGAGGUAAUGGCUCACCAAGGCGACGAUCCGUAACUGGUCUGAGAGGAUGAUCAGUCACACUGGAACUGAGACACGGUCCAGACUCCUACGGGAGGCAGCAGUGGGGAAUAUUGGACAAUGGGCGAAAGCCUGAUCCAGCCAUGCCGCGUGUGUGAAGAAGGUCUUCGGAUUGUAAAGCACUUUAAGUUGGGAGGAAGGGUUGUAGAUUAAUACUCUGCAAUUUUGACGUUACCGACAGAAUAAGCACCGGCUAACUCUGUGCCAGCAGCCGCGGUAAUACAGAGGGUGCAAGCGUUAAUCGGAAUUACUGGGCGUAAAGCGCGCGUAGGUGGUUCGUUAAGUUGGAUGUGAAAUCCCCGGGCUCAACCUGGGAACUGCAUCCAAAACUGGCGAGCUAGAGUAUGGUAGAGGGUGGUGGAAUUUCCUGUGUAGCGGUGAAAUGCGUAGAUAUAGGAAGGAACACCAGUGGCGAAGGCGACCACCUGGACUGAUACUGACACUGAGGUGCGAAAGCGUGGGGAGCAAACAGGAUUAGAUACCCUGGUAGUCCACGCCGUAAACGAUGUCAACUAGCCGUUGGGAGCCUUGAGCUCUUAGUGGCGCAGCUAACGCAUUAAGUUGACCGCCUGGGGAGUACGGCCGCAAGGUUAAAACUCAAAUGAAUUGACGGGGGGCCCGCACAAGCGGUGGAGCAUGUGGUUUAAUUCGAA